CGAUCUUGUAGGCGAGCAGCGCUUCGUAAAUCUUGCGCGUGUACGUCUUCUCACUCGACAGGAAGAAGUUGCGUGCGACCUGCAUCGUGAUCGU
RNAcentral lists this transfer RNA (94 nucleotides) under Pandoraea iniqua. RNAcentral's name for it is "Pandoraea sp. LMG 31009 tRNA-Ala". Lineage: Bacteria; Pseudomonadati; Pseudomonadota; Betaproteobacteria; Burkholderiales; Burkholderiaceae. The record is from RNAcentral.